GGAGCUGUGCCCGAGCCAGAAUAGGGGCCACUUUGAUAAGGUGCUCUACGGGGGUUAAACUCCCUCCAACUCCA
RNAcentral lists this transfer RNA (74 nucleotides) under Bothus robinsi (twospot flounder). Its description in RNAcentral is "tRNA-Ile". It matches the Rfam family "tRNA". From Rfam's summary of the family: Transfer RNA (tRNA) molecules are approximately 80 nucleotides in length. Their secondary structure includes four short double-helical elements and three loops (D, anti-codon, and T loops). Lineage: Eukaryota; Metazoa; Chordata; Actinopteri; Pleuronectiformes; Bothidae. The record is from RNAcentral.